RNAcentral lists this long non-coding RNA (4718 nucleotides) under Homo sapiens (human). RNAcentral describes it as "non-protein coding lnc-GRHL2-14:1". The record is from RNAcentral. Lineage: Eukaryota; Metazoa; Chordata; Mammalia; Primates; Hominidae.
GUUUAAAAAAGAAAAUGGGGGGAGGGGAAUGUAUGUGGGUUUGUUUAAAUGCUGAAGAAAACUGUUCUAAGCAGCUGGAUGAAUAAAAGGGAGGAGCACUAAAGAAAGAAUGCGCUAAAUCUAAAGAUACAAGAACAACACCCAGGAAUUGAUUGAAAAUGCUUUGGUGACAAGUGAGGCAUGUAAUGACAAGAAAGCAGCAUGUGUGCAUAUUGAGGAGUGCAUGUGGAAAACAGGUUUCUCCUUUUAAUUAGCUUUGCCGCUGGGAGGACCUUCUCUCUCCACUUUCUGUCCAGCUCUUCCAUCCCAGAAUUCCACUCUGGGUUCUUGUGAUGUGCUAACGAGGCUGCAGGGCAGCUCUGAUUGAGUGGGCCAAUAAUACUGGCUCAAGGCCACCUAGAGAAGUGUUCUCCCCGUGUAUGUAAGGGGAAGUGCUGGGUGCAGCCUCUGGGGUGGGGUUAUUCCUAUCCUCCUCUUUCCUGCCUGGACCAUGCAGAUGAGGGCCAUCCCCUAGAGAUAAUGAAGCAAUAAGAUGGGAGAUACCUGGCAGUCCUUGACACCAUGGACCCGCCAUACUAGUCUUUGGCUGCAAACUCUCACGCUGUCAUGGAAGAUAAAUAAACCUCAAUACUGCUUAAGCCAUUGAAACUUUAGGUCUCUGUUGCACACAGAUGAACCCAUAGUCCAACAAAUGUAUCUUCUUGACUAAAUCUUACCUUCUUACUCUGAUGAUUUAUAUUCAGAGAAUAAAUUUAACUUUGUCUAUAUCUGGGGUAAAAAAGAACAGCUCUUCAAUAAAUCUGCUUCUCUCCAAAAAUAUUCCAGAAAAUUCAUGUGAUUGGAAUUAUGUUGAGAAAUUUUUAUUUCGUAUUUUUAUCUUUUAUUUCAAUUUUUCUACAAACUUUUUGAAGUCCCCUGUGUGUAUGUAUAUGUACAUUCCUGAGCUGGAGUAUAACAUUACUUUGGACAAAAUUCUUUACAUUAAAAUUCACUUCUAGAAUAAAGAGGUUCACAACUAUAGGUUUCAAAGAAUAUCAGAACAAGAAAGAGAACAAGAGAUCUCUCUCCAGGUUAAACAUCAUUCCACUAUCGAUGAGGUUUGAAUGUAGUUGCUCAAGCAGCUGUAUAUUCACCUAAACAGAGUAACAACCCAGUCUACAUUUCUCCACCAUAUCCAUCAUAUAAUGUGAGGAUUUCGGAGUGAUUUUGUCAGAUGUAGGGUUAAACUCCAUUGCCAGCACCCCUCAAUGUACCCAAACAGGAAUAGUCUACUUUUCCUGAUUCCUUUUUAAAGUCUCACAAAUUAUCUUUUUAAUUAAGCAUUCUAUAAUUUUUUCCCAGGAAACAGCUUCGAUUUUAUCAGCUGGUAUUUAUUGUCCAUGAGUCACCUUUUGGACUACUGGGUUGACAUUUCCUCAAUUCCUGUCUUUUGGCCACUCUCAUGAGAGCUGAAAAACAUUUUUACUACAUCUUGCCUCUCGCAGUUUGAAACUGGGGUUAGGAAACAUGGCCUAUGGAUGGUAGUGGCUUGUGGUCCCUGGUUUUAAACUGCUCCCAUGGUGGAAUCACUUGAGUCUCUCUCCUUUCAUCUCCACACAAAUAUUCUCCAUCCCACCUCUUCGUGCAGGCUUCUGGCUUUCUGUGCACUUUCAGACAUUUUGGACAUAUAAUGCUCCUCUGCUAUCUGUUCUCUCAGGGCUUCCAUAUUCUAGUCCUGAGCCCUGUGUUUCAGGGGUAUCUAGGAAAUCUUGAUUUCUUUCAGGUGUUAACAUCUCAAGUUCCUUUGCUUCAUAUUCACACUUGAAAUCAGAUAUAACAUUCCUUACUUUUUCCUCCUGUUAUUUUUGCAUGCAAAUUAAGAGAUUCUCCAAUUGCUCUGUGUCAUACGUUUUCUUACGAAUAACAGGGCUUAUAGUUUCACUUGAGUAAUUUUUCCACCCUCUUAAACUGCAGUUUAAGGUCUUGAUGAGGUUACCAAAUCUCUGACAAGCAUAUAUUCUUUCCAGUCUUCACAGGGCACGCUUCGGCCCUUGCUAGGAGUCCAUCGUUCUGCCAUAACAUUUGCUCCCAGGUCAUCUGCUUGCAAGAGGCAAUCGAGAGUUUGGGAAACCCUUACAAAAGAAAUGACAAUAGUUUAUUUUUAGCUCCUGACAUUUUGUGCUCCUAAUACCCAGUAAGCCUUUCUGCCCCACAGUCAGGAUGCUUUAAUUGGCAGUAAAUGGUGAGGCGGUAACCCAUCCAGAAAAACUAACUUUUAUUUGAUAGUAUGUAUAAAACCAUCUGUUCAUUUCCCAUACCUCUUCCAGACAUGACCUUCAACUGGAAGGGAUUAAAACAAACAAACAAACAAAAAAAAAAAACACAAAAAACACUUGUGCCCCAGAGCCUUUGGUUUACCACCCAGGGCUCUGAUCACUCGAGAUACAUUCCAGAAUUCAUUUAACAUGUGUUCCCACCGGAGUCAGCAGAAUGGGUAACCACGGGCAGACAGCACAUUCUGGCAAUUCUCAGGCCCAUGCUCCAGAAAGACAGCCUUAAGUUCAUACUCAGGGUUUAUAAAUAGUGAGUCAUCAACCACUACCAGUUGUCUUGGUACUAGUGACAUAAUCUUGUAACUCCUGGUGACUAGAGAGCUUCAUUAAUUUUGUGGAGAAUUUUUUUUUUUUUUUUUGACAGUGAUGGAGUCUCAUUUUGUUGCCCAGGCUGGAGUGCAGUGACGCAAUCUCAGCUCACUGAGACCUCCAUCUCCCAGGUUCAAGUGAUCCUCCUGCUUCAGCCUCCUGAGUAGCUGGGAUUACAGGUCUGCACUAUGAGGCCCAGCUAAUUUUUGUAUUUUUAGUAGACACAGAGUUUUGCUAUGAGGCUGGUCUCGAACUCAUGACCUCAAGCCAUCCGCUGGCCUUGGCCUCCCAAAGCGCUGGGAUUGUAGGCGUGAGCCACCGUGACUGGCCCAAACAUUUAACAAAGAAAAACAGUGUAUCAUCUUUGAGAGACUAAUGAAAAGUCAAUAAAACAAAUCUGGUAGAAGUAUAAAUCACAGAGCAGAAUUGUAUUUUACCUUUCAUUAAAAGAAAAAAAAAAGGAUCUUAGUGUUCAGACAGUAGCUUGGGAAGGAGAUCAACACUGACUGAUAUCCAGUCAUUGUCAGUGUUCUGUUAAAACUGUUUUUUUUGAGACGGAGUCUCGCUCUGUCGCCCAGGCUGGAGUGCAGGCAUGUAUUACUUUUAUAAGUAAAAACUACCCCCAACAUGACUACUCAAGAAUGAGAUACUAUGAAGAAAAGUUCCAGAGCAUUUACAAGCUAAGAGAGGCAUUUCCCAUAGCUAUUAAUUCAAAAUAUAAGAAACCUCAAGUAUUUUGAACACUUAUACCUCUCCAGACUGGACACCCCGAUGCAGCAAUGUAUUUUCAUAACCACCCCUUCCAGAGAGUAUUACCUUUUAGAUAACUAAUGAGCUUUUUUUAAAAUAAAAAGUUUCUAUUAUGUGCAGCUAUAGAGCUAAAUGCUCACAACUACUCAGUAAAGAGAAACCUAGGCCUCGGAGGCUUUAGCCACUUGCCGACAAACUGAAUGACAGCUUCUGAAUGGCUCCUCUAUCACUUCCCCAUACAAAAACCUUUCCCACAGACACCUGGCCUUCCAACCUACUUCUACCAGUGUAGAAGCUUUUGUGCAUACUUUUAACCCAGACAGUUCAUGUCUAGGAAUUCUCCCAAGAAAAUAACCACGAUCACUUUUUUUGACUGAAAAGAAUAAAAUGGAUCUCGGGGUUUAAACUGUUGAUCAGAAAGGUUAUCACAAGUUCAGUAUUAUUUUCCUGUUCAACCAACAGUGCGUAAGUGGCUCAAGGUGAGUUCUAUUUUCAUGCUACCAAUAAAAUCCAGUGCAUUUAUAUAUAUUAACAUAAUUUAUAACUUUAUUUUGUAAUUUUAUAAAUUAUUUUUUAAAUAUUACUUCAUGUUUACGUGCAUUUUAUAAAAUUUAUAUAUAAAGUUACAUUUUAUACAUAAUGAGCUACGAAAAAGCACAAGCAGAAAUGGGCAAAUGUGAGAAGGGUAUGUGUAAAGACACACUGUGUUAAUUUCAGUAGAGGGAGGAGGGAUAGGAAGACAGUGGGAAGUGUUACUAUGAAAAUCCGCAUACAUAAAUAUUAAAUAAUAGAACCUAAUAAAAGACAGAUCCCAAACAUGAAAGGUUAUUUUGUUACUGUAACUUACUAAACUGACUUAAUCUAAUAAAAAUACUAUUUCUUCAUAGUAGUCAGGUAACAAUAAAAAACAUACAGGAAAAUGGUUAAAAAAAACUACAGGUAAUCUACCCAAUGGAUCAUUAUGCAGCCACAAAAAUUCCACUUAGCACAGUUUAUAACACGAAAAACCCACCUGUUAUGUUGUUAAAUGAAAUGGCAGAGUACAAAGACAUAAUAUGAAAAAAGUGACUACAAAAUUCAAAAACAUGCAUUAAUUUAAAAAAAUCUAUGUGGUAAGAAGACAGACAUGGAUACUAUUCCUCAAAAUGUUUUGUACUGGUCAAUUUGUAAAAUCCAACCUUACCACAGUCUUCACAUUUUUAUAUAUGAGAUAUAUUUCAAAAUGUGUUACUUUUAUAGUGAAGUAGAAGACAAGAAAUGUCGUGUAUAGCCACACUAUAGUCUGGGGUUAUUUAGUGCAGGGACAAACAUCCCUAAAUACAGCUUUUUGGGCAUUAGUAGUAUCAC